UAUGUGAUCGUCUCUCGCAUAUCAAUAAGCGGAGGAAAAGAAACUAACAAGGAUUCCCCUAGUAACGGCGAGUGAAGCGGGAAGAGCUCAAAUUUGAAAUCUUAAAGGGUUUCCCUUUACGAAUUGUAGUUUAAAGAAGUGUUUUCUGUUGAGGUUUUGGUAAAAGUUCUUUGGAAUAGGACAUCAUAGAGGGUGAGAAUCCCGUAUUUGACCUUUACUUUCAACUUUGUGAUACACUUUCAAAGAGUCGGAUUGUUUGGGAAUGCAGUCCAAAAUGGGUGGUAAAUUUCAUCUAAAGCUAAAUAUUGGCGAGAGACCGAUAGCGAACAAGUACCGUGAGGGAAAGAUGAAAAGAACUUUGAAAAGAGAGUUAAACAGUACGUGAAAUUGUCAAAAGGGAAGCGUUUGACACCAGUGUUGUUUUUCUGAAAAUCAAUUAAAGAACUGUUUAUGCUAAGUUGUUUAGACUUUAUCAGCUAACUGUUUAGUUUUGAGCUUUUCUUUAAUGCACUUUUCAGUUAGCAAGUCAACAUCAAUUUCUUUUGCUGUAAAAAAGCUUGAGGAAGGUGGCUUGAGAUUCGUCUUAAGUGUUUAUAGCCUCUUGCCUAUGCAGUCGGAGAGAUUGAGGUCUGCAGCGUAGAUCCUUCGGGGCUAAAUGCAUUUGUGCUAAGUUAUAGCAUUUUAUAGACAACUUGUUGACUAUGAUUUGUCUUGUAGCUUACUCGCUUAUGUUAUUUUACCUACGCUUAGGAUGUUGAGUAGCGACAUACGCAC
Molecule: ribosomal RNA, 774 nt
Filed under: uncultured Neocallimastigales
Lineage: Eukaryota; Fungi; Neocallimastigomycota; Neocallimastigomycetes; Neocallimastigales
Description: partial large subunit ribosomal RNA
Rfam family: Eukaryotic large subunit ribosomal RNA
Source: RNAcentral